AAGUCGUAACAAGGUUUCCGUAGGUGAACCUGCGGAAGGAUCAUUAACACGUAUCCAACGUUAAACCCCCUGUGAACCUUCAUUGUACGAGUUACAUCCACGUCAUAAACCGGCAAUCUCUGGUAAAUCAUCGCCGAACAGUUUUGAUUCAGAGACCUCUGGGAAGGGUGUACGGUAGUGCGAGGCAAUUGACCUGGCAUUCCUCUGCUUGUUAGUGUCUGAAAGUGUCUAGCUAUGUACGGAUGGCGCAGUAAGCGGGCCUGCGCUGAGGUGCGGCCACCCCUAAUGCUUGAACAACUGUUAACAAUGGAUAUCUUGGUUCUC
RNAcentral lists this unclassified non-coding RNA (324 nucleotides) under fungal sp. RNAcentral describes it as "partial internal transcribed spacer region". The stretch from base 1 to 46 matches the Rfam family "Eukaryotic small subunit ribosomal RNA", at positions 1786 to 1831 of the family's 1831-position model. The record is from RNAcentral. Lineage: Eukaryota; Fungi.